Molecule: ribosomal RNA, 427 nt
Filed under: uncultured bacterium
Lineage: Bacteria
Description: partial 16S ribosomal RNA
Rfam family: Bacterial small subunit ribosomal RNA
Source: RNAcentral
UGGGGAAUAUUGCACAAUGGGCGCAAGCCUGAUGCAGCCAUGCCGCGUGUAUGAAGAAGGCCUUCGGGUUGUAAAGUACUUUCAGCGGGGGGGAAGGGGUUGAGGCUAAUAACCUCAGCAAUUGACGUUACCCGCAGAAGAAGCACCGGCUAACUCCGUGCCAGCAGCCGCGGUAAUACGGAGGGGGCAAGCGUUAAUCGGAAUUACUGGGCGUAAAGCGCACGCAGGCGGUCUGUCAAGUCGGAUGUGAAAUCCCCGGGCUCAACCUGGGAACUGCAUUCGAAACUGGCAGGCUAGAGUCUUGUAGAGGGGGGUAGAAUUCCAGGUGUAGCGGUGAAAUGCGUAGAGAUCUGGAGGAAUACCGGUGGCGAAGGCGGCCCCCUGGACAAAGACUGACGCUCAGGUGCGAAAGCGUGGGGAGCAAACA